Molecule: ribosomal RNA, 1054 nt
Filed under: Staphylococcus aureus
Lineage: Bacteria; Bacillati; Bacillota; Bacilli; Caryophanales; Staphylococcaceae
Description: partial 23S ribosomal RNA
Rfam family: Bacterial large subunit ribosomal RNA
Source: RNAcentral
GACGAAUCAUCUGGAAAGAUGAAUCAAAGAAGGUAAUAAUCCUGUAGUCGAAAAUGUUGUCUCUCUUGAGUGGAUCCUGAGUACGACGGAGCACGUGAAAUUCCGUCGGAAUCUGGGAGGACCAUCUCCUAAGGCUAAAUACUCUCUAGUGACCGAUAGUGAACCAGUACCGUGAGGGAAAGGUGAAAAGCACCCCGGAAGGGGAGUGAAAUAGAACCUGAAACCGUGUGCUUACAAGUAGUCAGAGCCCGUUAAUGGGUGAUGGCGUGCCUUUUGUAGAAUGAACCGGCGAGUUACGAUUUGAUGCAAGGUUAAGCAGUAAAUGUGGAGCCGUAGCGAAAGCGAGUCUGAAUAGGGCGUUUAGUAUUUGGUCGUAGACCCGAAACCAGGUGAUCUACCCUUGGUCAGGUUGAAGUUCAGGUAACACUGAAUGGAGGACCGAACCGACUUACGUUGAAAAGUGAGCGGAUGAACUGAGGGUAGCGGAGAAAUUCCAAUCGAACCUGGAGAUAGCUGGUUCUCUCCGAAAUAGCUUUAGGGCUAGCCUCAAGUGAUGAUUAUUGGAGGUAGAGCACUGUUUGGACGAGGGGCCCCUCUCGGGUUACCGAAUUCAGACAAACUCCGAAUGCCAAUUAAUUUAACUUGGGAGUCAGAACAUGGGUGAUAAGGUCCGUGUUCGAAAGGGAAACAGCCCAGACCACCAGCUAAGGUCCCAAAAUAUAUGUUAAGUGGAAAAGGAUGUGGCGUUGCCCAGACAACUAGGAUGUUGGCUUAGAAGCAGCCAUCAUUUAAAGAGUGCGUAAUAGCUCACUAGUCGAGUGACACUGCGCCGAAAAUGUACCGGGGCUAAACAUAUUACCGAAGCUGUGGAUUGUCCUUUGGACAAUGGUAGGAGAGCGUUCUAAGGGCGUUGAAGCAUGAUCGUAAGGACAUGUGGAGCGCUUAGAAGUGAGAAUGCCGGUGUGAGUAGCGAAAGACGGGUGAGAAUCCCGUCCACCGAUUGACUAAGGUUUCCAGAGGAAGGCUCGUCCGCUCUGGGUUAGUCGGGUCCUAA